CUCGUCCUCAAUGGAGCCGAUGGCCCGAUGCCCUCCUCUCACCGCCUCCCGUCCGCUGCUGCCGCCCCCGGCUCCGACGUCGUGCCGUCCCUAGCCUCCUCCUCCUCCCCAGAACUCCAUCCCCCACGUGCUCCCCUGCGGUACCUAGGGUUCUCGCCUCCCUCGACGAACCUAGGGUUCGGCGCGCCACCGCCUCCCCUGCUGUACUUGCGACCGACGGCGGCGGUCCGGCCAUCGUUGCCAGCGAGGUGCUCCUAGCCAGAAGAGAGGUGCUAAGCUAGGCGGUAGCGGUGCCUCCGCCCGCCGCCUCCAUCUCGUCGAGCUCCGGUGUGACAACGCCUUCCUCAGAUAUGUGCAUCUGCGACAUCUUCCUCCCCUCUCUAGUUUCCCCCUUCAAAGUAGGUAGAAAUGCGAUGCAUGCCUUUGCCUCCUUUGCCUUCUCCCCCUCCCUGCCAUGUCUGUUCUACUCCGCUUCUUCCAUCAGAUUGGCUAGUCUUGUUAGUGCCAGAUAACUUGCUGCUACUUGCUAGUUUCUUUCCCCAGUGAUUGAGUCAACUGGAUUGCCUGCUGCUUAGCUCCUUGCUUAUUUCACUCUUGAUUAAUGCCCAUUGGUUGCUGUCAUGCUUUGAUCUUAGUUUAUUACCACCAUGCAGGAUGCAGCCAUGUGAUUUGUUAUUACCUGAUUAUCUCAAUCCAUGCUUAGCAAGUGCUUUUGUGAUUAACUGCAUGUUUGCCUUUCUUGUUGUCAGUGAUUGCUUGCUUGAUUAUUUUGAUAAAGUACUUGGUCUGUGUUACCUACUACUUGCAACUUUUGUGCUUGACUUAUUGCUAUGACUUGUUCUUGUUUGAUUAGUAUUAAGGUACACGCUAACACACUGAUUAUUAGUCCAUUCAAUGCAUGCGUGGUUAGUGCCCUUUCCGAGUAAGUCAACAAGUUAAUUUAACAACCAGAUGAUGGCCGAUCGUCUAUAGUGGAAAGAAAUAGCUGCAAAGUCAUCUGCGGUGCCCAUAGAGUUAAAUAAAUCUAAUCUAAUAGAAAUUUAGUUUUGUUUCGGUACUACUAGAUAUUUGUUGCUAUGACAUCACUUUAUAUGAUGCAAUGUUACUUCUUGUACGAUCAAUAUGUCCCCCCCCCCCCCCCCCGCUCUGCCCCUGGUUUCAUCAGUCUGUACUUAUGUGUAUUUGUGUGUUUUGGUAUGCAAUGAAGUACUUUCUAGAUUAUGAAAACAGUGCGUUGCUGUUAAAUCCAUGGCCAUUUACAUAUUGUAGCAAUUGAGCACCGUGUAACAACCAUUCCGAGAGUAAUUGCAUCCGUGACAUAAAGUAACUAAUUAAAUGUUUAGAUGUAAUUGAGUGCACACUUCCUCUCUUAGAAGUCCCUAGUUUUUUAAUUUCUACUACAGCGCUGCCAGGUGUGGGGGUGAACUUACCUGGUUUUACGGGAGCCCCCUCCGCAGCUCAAUCUGCUUCCAGGUGAGAUAGGGGGGGUUACUAUUGCUGCUCGUCUCCUUCACUUUCGGUUCUAAUCAACGGGCACAAACCACGCGCUACCAGAUUAAACAUUUCCUUUGUUUCUAUAUGGUUCGUGGUUUCUGAAGACAAACAAUAGGGGAGGUAUGUAAUUGUAAGUACUGAUGGCAUGCAUGGGUUCUAACUGGAGAUACAACAUGUAGGAUGAGAACUGUAAUUUUUGUAUCUGCUGGAUAUGAGCUUUUGUUGGAUCUGAAGUCCUGUGUAGUUAUAUGGUUGAUGUAAUUUUAGAUGCAUGGAAUCUGAGCUUUUGUUGGAUCCCAGCUUUAGUGGAAUGUUUUCCUCAUGCUUCUAACUGUUGGCAGAACAAGCUCUUUAGUUUCAAGUGUAAGAUUUGCCUUUGUCUAUAUAAACUAGUAGAUGCACUUCUAUUCUCAUUA
Long non-coding RNA from Brachypodium distachyon (stiff brome), 1910 nucleotides. RefSeq lists it as uncharacterized. The record is from RefSeq and is a predicted model, not a curated record. Lineage: Eukaryota; Viridiplantae; Streptophyta; Magnoliopsida; Poales; Poaceae. The transcript has 2 exons.